This is a long non-coding RNA of Musa acuminata AAA Group (dessert banana), 567 nucleotides long. RefSeq lists it as uncharacterized. The record is from RefSeq and is a predicted model, not a curated record. Lineage: Eukaryota; Viridiplantae; Streptophyta; Magnoliopsida; Zingiberales; Musaceae. The transcript is spliced from 2 exons.
CCGCGGAUCAUCUUAACACGUCCCGCGCUUCUAGAAUAAUCUACCCACCACUAUAUAUGAACCACUACCCCGAAGUUCCGAGAGAGGAAAGAGGGAGGAGAUCGGAGGAGAGGCGACAUGGAUCUUGAGGCCAAUUCCUUCCUUGGAGAUGGAUGUUGAGGCGAACAUCUUCUGCUUCCUCCCUCCCUCCGAUCCUUGAGUCUUAACCCUAGACGGAGAAAUGGUGAGCGAUGAUAGAAUGGCGGAGAUCCUCCUAGUCUUCUGUGCGCGAAGCAAUUUCCAUCCGGAUCUUUUCCUAUCGAGAUAAAGCCGCGUGCGGGCAUAUCACACAUUGUUAAUUGCACAAAGGUUAUCGCGUAUGUUCAUAGUUUGAAGGUGAGCACAUGUCGCUGGCAUAGUUGAUUGUGUUCAAUGAUUUGGUGGUUCGACAUUUUGAUUAUUUUUUGUGUUCCGUGUAAAAGUUAUUAUUUUUCACUUUGGCAAUAUUUUCUUUAUUUUUUAACUAUAAUGAUGGUUGUAAAAAAAUGUUCAUGUGACGAUGGCGUGUGUAUAUAUAUUUUGGUCGUC